UACGGCUCGCUGCCUGGAGUUGGCGCGAGCCCGAAACGUUCAGGCGCGACAGGAUGUGGCUGCGGCCGAUUAGGUAGACGGUGGGGUAACGGCCCACCGUGCCGAUAAUCGGUACGGGUUGUGAAAGCAAGAGCCCGGAGACGGAAUCUGAGACAAGAUUCCGGGCCCUACGGGGCGCAGCAGGCGCGAAACCUUUACACUGCACGCGAGUGCGAUAGGGGGACUCCAAGUGCGAGGGCAUACAGUCCUCGCUUUUCACCACCGUAAGGAGGUGGUAGAAUAAGUGCUGGGCAAGACCUGUGCCAGCCGCCGCGGUAAUACCGGCAGCACGAGUGAUGACCGCUAUUAUUGGGCCUAAAGCGUCCGUAGCCGGCCGGGCAAGUCCAUCGGGAAAUCCGCACGCCUAACGUGCGGGCGUCCGGUGGAAACUGUUCGGCUUGGGACCGGAAGAUCCAGAGGGUACGUCUGGGGUAGGAGUGAAAUCCUGUAAUCCUGGACGGACCACCGGUGGCGAAAGCGCUCUGGAAAGACGGAUCCGACGGUGAGGGACGAAAGCUUGGGUCACGAACCGGAUUAGAUACCCGGGUAGUCCAAGCUGUAAACGAUGUCUGCUAGGUGUGGCACAGGCUACGAGCCUGUGCUGUGCCGUAGGGAAGCCGUGAAGCAGACCGCCUGGGAAGUACGUCUGCAAGGAUGAAACUUAAAGGAAUUGGCGGGGGAGCACUACAACCGGAGGAGCCUGCGGUUUAAUUGGACUCAACGCCGGACAUCUCACCAGCAUCGACAGUAGCUGUGACGGUCAGUGUGAUGAGCUUACUAGAGCUACUGAGAGGAGGUGCAUGGCCGCCGUCAGCUCGUACCGUGAGGCGUCCUGUUAAGUCAGGCAACGAGCGAGACCCGCACGCCUAAUUGCCAGCAACACCCUUGAGGUGGUUGGGUACAUUAGGCGGACUGCCAGUGCCAAACUGGAGGAAGGAACGGGCAACGGUAGGUCAGUAUGCCCCGAAUGUGCUGGGCGACACGCGGGCUACAAUGGUCGAGACAGUGGGAUGCCACCCCGAGAGGGGGCGCUAAUCUCCGAAACUCGAUCGUAGUUCGGAUUGCGGACUGAAACUCGUCCGCAUGAAGCUGGAUUCGGUAGUAAUCGCGCUUCAGAAGAGCGCGGUGAAUACGUCCCUG
Molecule: ribosomal RNA, 1179 nt
Filed under: Halobacterium sp. KeS-26
Lineage: Archaea; Methanobacteriati; Methanobacteriota; Halobacteria; Halobacteriales; Halobacteriaceae
Description: bacterial SSU rRNA
Rfam family: Archaeal small subunit ribosomal RNA
Source: RNAcentral